Molecule: ribosomal RNA, 433 nt
Filed under: uncultured bacterium
Lineage: Bacteria
Description: partial 16S ribosomal RNA
Rfam family: Bacterial small subunit ribosomal RNA
Source: RNAcentral
AACGAACGCUGGCGGCAGGCCUAACACAUGCAAGUCGAACGGAUCCUUCGGGAUUAGUGGCGGACGGGUGAGUAACGCGUGGGAACGUACCCUUUGCUACGGAAUAACUCAGGGAAACUUGUGCUAAUACCGGAUGUGCUCUACGGGGCAAAGAUUUAUCGGCAUAGGAUCGGCCCGCGUUGGAUUAGCUAGUUGGUGGGGUAAUGGCCUACCAAGGCGACGAUCCAUAGCUGGUCUGAGAGGAUGAUCAGCCACACUGGGACUGAGACACGGCCCAGACUCCUACGGGAGGCAGCAGUGGGGAAUAUUGGACAAUGGGCGCAAGCCUGAUCCAGCCAUGCCGCGUGAGUGAUGAAGGUCUUAGGGUUGUAAAGCUCUUUCACCGGUGAAGAUAAUGACGGUAGCCGGAGAAUAAGCCCCGGCUAACUUCGUG